RNAcentral lists this ribosomal RNA (253 nucleotides) under uncultured bacterium. Its description in RNAcentral is "partial 16S ribosomal RNA". It matches the Rfam family "Bacterial small subunit ribosomal RNA", at positions 524 to 776 of the family's 1533-position model. The record is from RNAcentral.
UACGGAGGGUGCAAGCGUUGCUCGGAAUUACUGGGCGUAAAGGGCGUGUAGGCGGUGUCGUAUGUCUGACGUGAAAGCCCCGGGCUCACCCCGGGAAGUGCGUUGGAAACUGCGAGACUAGAGUCCCGGAGAGGAAGGUGGAAUUCCAGGUGUAGCGGUGAAAUGCGUAGAUAUCUGGAAGAACACCGGCGGCGAAGGCGGCCUUCUGGACGGUGACUGACGCUGAGACGCGAAAGCGUGGGGAGCAAACAGG